UACGGGGGGAGCAAGCGUUGUCCGGAAUUAUUGGGCGUAAAGGGCUCGUAGGCGGUUUGUCGCGUCGGGAGUGAAAACCUACAGCUUAACUGUGGGCUUGCUUUCGAUACGGGCAGACUAGAGGUAUGCAGGGGAGAACGGAAUUCCUGGUGUAGCGGUGAAAUGCGCAGAUAUCAGGAGGAACACCGGUGGCGAAGGCGGUUCUCUGGGCAUGAUCUGACGCUGAGGAGCGAAAGCGUGGGGAGCGAACAGG
Molecule: ribosomal RNA, 253 nt
Filed under: uncultured bacterium
Lineage: Bacteria
Description: partial 16S ribosomal RNA
Rfam family: Bacterial small subunit ribosomal RNA
Source: RNAcentral